Molecule: transfer RNA, 74 nt
Filed under: Planctomycetales bacterium 4572_13
Lineage: Bacteria; Pseudomonadati; Planctomycetota; Planctomycetia; Planctomycetales
Also listed under: 4 other names
Description: tRNA-Ile
Rfam family: tRNA
About the family: Transfer RNA (tRNA) molecules are approximately 80 nucleotides in length. Their secondary structure includes four short double-helical elements and three loops (D, anti-codon, and T loops). Further hydrogen bonds mediate the characteristic L-shaped molecular structure. tRNAs have two regions of fundamental functional importance: the anti-codon, which is responsible for specific mRNA codon recognition, and the 3' end, to which the tRNAs corresponding amino acid is attached (by aminoacyl-tRNA synthetases). tRNAs cope with the degeneracy of the genetic code in two manners: having more than one tRNA (with a specific anti-codon) for a particular amino acid; and 'wobble' base-pairing, i.e. permitting non-standard base-pairing at the 3rd anti-codon position.
Source: RNAcentral
GGGCUCGUAGCUCAGCUGGCUAGAGCGCACGCCUGAUAAGCGUGAGGUCGGAGGUUCAAGUCCUCCCGGGCCCA